UUCAGCUGUUUGUAUCCGGGGUCCUGCUCUGUCUUAUGAACAAAGGAGAGGAUCAGAAAGAAAAUGCAUUGGUUAAUCAGGAGGUCUGACUACUGGAUAAUUUUUUCCAUCGCCACACCUGACAGGAGCUGCUCAUUAUUACAGAAAAAUCCUCACUCCAUCAAUGCAUAUCAUCCACCGUCUCUACCCAUCAGCCAAUGCUCUCCCUACACCAAUUCCUCAUCUUGAGGAUCUGAACCUGGACAAAUCCCUCCAUCCACUUCUUAAGCUUGUCCCACCUAAUUGCAUCUCAUCCUCUCCACACCUUCGCAGUCUCACACAUCCUUUCCACGCCUAGACCUGCAGGACAACUCCUCUCUCCCUUUGCCUUAUCUUAAGGGGGGAAGACUUCUCUAAUCCUAAUCCUAAAAUGAAAAUCCAAGAUCAUAGCCAUUUGCAACUUUCACGUCUUCUGCCGGGGUCUGAGCACCAAAGAACGUUCACCGAUUUCUGC
Long non-coding RNA from Fundulus heteroclitus (mummichog), 493 nucleotides. RefSeq lists it as uncharacterized. The record is from RefSeq and is a predicted model, not a curated record. The transcript is spliced from 4 exons. NCBI's taxonomy places the organism in Eukaryota, Metazoa, Chordata, Actinopteri, Cyprinodontiformes, Fundulidae.